Camelus dromedarius (Arabian camel) is the source of this 696-nucleotide long non-coding RNA. RefSeq lists it as uncharacterized. The transcript is spliced from 3 exons. NCBI's taxonomy places the organism in Eukaryota, Metazoa, Chordata, Mammalia, Artiodactyla, Camelidae. The record is from RefSeq and is a predicted model, not a curated record.
UUGGGAAAUCCCCUGGACCUGACAGAGUUUUCUAUGAAAGGAGGGAAUGUAUGAAAUCAGAACCCUCUCACAUGUGUGUCUGCCUGCUGGUGACAAGACGGGUGGGAAUUUCUGAGCAGUCUCAUGGAUAAAUGAGGUCAUCACUGAUAAGCACGUGUGGAAUUCUCUAAACACUGGGUGACCCAGGGGAUUUCUGCUGUUGGUAGCCAAGGAAUACCUCUGCCUUUUCUGCUUCUAUAAAUCCAGUUGAGAAAAUUAUUCUUCUCAUCCUCUCCAAAGCUCCACUGACUGCACCCAGGGUAAUAAAAGGACUUACCAUGUCAUGCAGGGCCGCCUAAGGUUCUGCUGCUCUCUGGUUCAGACAUUUUCAUACUGAGAUGCCCAUGAUCCCCCAUGGUGAGCUGUCUCCUUCACUGCAGUGAACAAUAACACCAACUUGCUCGUCCACAGAUGUACUCCUGGUGGCCCUUGGCCAAAGGCAUUAACAGCACUUCAUUGGACUGAUGUGAAGGAUAUAAAUAUCCUGCACCUGGACUGAAAAGUUCCCAGGGCUCUUCAACUGUCCUUAUGAUGUUGUAGUAUCAUCCCCAUUUUACAAGGAGACAAUGGAUUUCAGAAAGGUGAAAGAAUUUGCCCAGGGUCACACAGCUGGUGAGUGAAGGGCUGAAAUGUGACAAAGGCAAGUCAUGAGUUCCU